RNAcentral lists this non-coding RNA (45 nucleotides) under Schistosoma bovis. The record is from RNAcentral. RNAcentral also lists the same sequence under 1 other name. Lineage: Eukaryota; Metazoa; Platyhelminthes; Trematoda; Strigeidida; Schistosomatidae.
AUCCAACCGACGAUUUCCAAACAGGACUAAACGCGCGUCCUGCAU